GAUGAACGCUAGCGGCAGGCUUAAUACAUGCAAGUCGUGGGGCAGCAGGACUGUAGCAAUACAGUUGCUGGCGACCGGCAAACGGGUGCGGAACACGUACGCAACUUACCCUGAACUGGGGGAUAGCCCGGGGAAACCCGGAUUAAUACCCCGUAUAAAAAGGAGGUGGCAUAACUUAAUAAUUAAACUUCGGGCGGUUGGGGUGGGCGUGCGGCUGAUUAGGUAGUUGGUUGAGGUAACGGCUCACCAAGCCUACGAUCAGUAACUGGUGUGAGAGCACGACCAGUCACACGGGCACUGAGACACGGGCCCGACUCCUACGGGAGGCAGCAGUAAGGAAUAUUGGGCAAUGGAGGCAACUCUGACCCAGCCAUGCCGCGUGGAGGAUGAAGGCCCUCUGGGUUGUAAACUUCUUUUAUAGGGGACGAAACCUGUGUAUUCUUACGCAGUUGACGGUACCCUAGGAAUAAGCACCGGCUAACUCCGUG
This 488-nucleotide ribosomal RNA is filed under the name uncultured bacterium. RNAcentral describes it as "partial 16S ribosomal RNA". It matches the Rfam family "Bacterial small subunit ribosomal RNA", at positions 28 to 507 of the family's 1533-position model. The record is from RNAcentral.